Lycium barbarum (goji berry) is the source of this 5130-nucleotide long non-coding RNA. RefSeq lists it as uncharacterized. The record is from RefSeq and is a predicted model, not a curated record. Lineage: Eukaryota; Viridiplantae; Streptophyta; Magnoliopsida; Solanales; Solanaceae. The transcript has 3 exons.
UGUAUUUCAAAGAAAUAUUAAAAUAUUAGUGUAUGAGAUUAUAUCUUAUGAUUUUACUUUUUAUAUUAAAAUAAUUGGAGGGGUGGCAUAUUAUCCACGUUACCACAUGGAUUUUGGACAUGUAUUAGACAUUACCUAUUCAUUCUUUAUAAUUAAGAAAUUUGGCCAGCAAUAAUCUUUUUCUGAUGAGUUUCCAUCUGACUCCAUAACAUUUCGUAUUUUUGGAUUAGGAAAUUGAAUCGUCCAAUAGGAGAAAAUUUACCCGAGCCGGAGAAUUCGAUCAUAUUCAAGGAUAAAAAUCGAGAGCUCGGUGUACAAAAAGUUUGAGGUCCCGAAAUAAUUUAGGUCUUAACAAGUGUGACCAUGGGGAUUGAGAAUAAUAUUUUGUGUGUACCAAAAGGGACUAUGGGCUAGUGCUAGAUGUUAUAUCUCGUAUUUUUGUACGAUUGGAUUAUUCGUAAAUAAGUUUAAGGACAAGAUUAAUCUUGAGAUAUGAGACGAGGAUUUUUAAUCCCGAUUUAUUAUUGCUCGGCUUACUAAUUAAUUGCAAAUAGUGUGGGAACAUUAGCGAAGUGGGAAAUUAACUAACCAUGAUUAGAUUAUUAAAUGGGGAUUAGAAAUUAAUUAAGAUUAAUUAAGUGUAUUAAAUGGACUCCAUUAUAACACGACCAAAUCUGAUUGGUCCAUACCAUAGUGAGACAUGUGUCAGUUGGUGGCUUAAGUAGUAAGCUCUAGAUAUAAUAUAAAUGAGAAUGGUACAUAAGAAAUUCUUGAAGUGGGUUCUACCUAAUUUUUGUCUUAUAUAUAUUUGGAUAACUUUGGACUAGGGGCAGCCACGUUUUCCUCCUAUUUAGCUUAGUUGUCCUACUAGCUAAUAUACCACUAUAGGGAUAUAUAACAAUAUUAGGCUUACAAAGUGUGCUAUAUAUAUCUGUAGGGUAGUUCUAUAUAUCUACACGUAAAGAUUAAAAUACUAUAAUCUUAGGAAAUUGGUAGGGAGUUCAUAGAUAGCUGCUGCUAUGAUUUUAUGAUCGUGGUUCUGUGCAAAACGAUUGGAUUCAAGGUAUAGAUUCCCAACACAACAAGUUCGUUGUUUUAACUUAGAGUUCGUUAAAUCCGGGCUUUAUUUAAAGGAAAGUAAAGUGGAAGAAGAUUAUUUUUUUUUCCAUAUUAGGCUAAAAGGGCGACGAGGCGAAAAGGAUUCAUGAAUAGUCGCUGACAGGUAUGUAAAGCCUACCUUUCUUUCUUUUGGCAUGACCUUUAUGAAACGAACAAAUAACACAUAUGUAUGCUUUUAAAGAAAAUCCUAUUCUUAAAGCCACUAGGAUGACCAAUAUCUUUGACUUCCAUAAGCCAUUCCAUAUGGUUUGAUACGUACUUAUGAUGUCCGAAGUUCUAUUUGAUAUGUUUCCGAAUGUUGUUCGAAAAAUAUUUGAUAUGGCUAAAGUCUUGGAUAUAUAUUUUGAUACGUACAUAUGACUCUAAAGGCUCCAUUCGAUUUGAUCCAUAAGGAUAUUUGAAAGUUCCCUAAUAUGAUUGUUACUUGAAUUUCCAAAAAGAGCUUCUGAAACGUUUUUAGAACGUUCUGUACUUCAAAAGUUCGUAACUUUCGUAUACUAAUUCUGAUUGACCCGAAACUGAUUUCUGAGCCUUCGGAUGCCGUAAAUAUAUUGUCCAUCGAGUUUUGGAAUUUAUUUAAUUAUAUGCAUUUAGUUUCUCACUACUCCACUCGUGGAUGCCCUCAAUGCUGCUUUCACUGAGCCCGGGCCAGGAUAUGUUAUCACGCGUAUUCCACUGCAUUGUUCGCCGUGCCUCGAUGUGAGGGGGCAGGUAUACAUGUACAUGGGUUGUGGAGUAUGUUGUGCCAUGUACACACAUUCUGAUGUAUGAUAAUAUGAUAAGAUAUGGCCAUCGAAUAUGUUUGAUAUGUGCACAUUCUGAUAUGAUAUGAUAUGUUACGGAGCUAUUCCCUACUCUGGAGUAUGCUGUGUUGUGGCGCCAGUGACGGGGUGGCGACCACGUUCUGUUCACCGAGUCCCAUAAUGGGGGUCGGAUAUGGCAUAUGCUCUGACAUGUAUUAUCUCUGUUCUGUGAGUAAGCAUUUUGACAUUCCGGUUAUUGUACUUAUAUUUUGUACCCUCUGUUCAGAUUAUGAUUCUGUUUAUUGUACUUUAUGCUUUACAUACUCGGUACAUAUUCCGUACUGACCCCCUUUCUUCGGGGGCUGCGUUUCAUGCCACGCAGGUACAGACGACUGAUUUACCGAUCCGCUCGCUUAGGAUUCUAUUCUGCUGUCUUGGAGUGCUCGGUUGUUCGGAGCCUACGUCUUGGUACAGUCUUUUGCCAUUGUACAUAUGUAUGUGGUUCAGGGGUAUGACGGGGCCCUGUCCCAUCUUGUGAUUCGGUUGCUAUUUGUAGAGGUCUGUAGACAUACAUGUGGGUUGUGUAUAUGUUUUGGGUUGAUAUGAUUUGUGAUAGCCUUAUCGGCUUCCACGCGCUAAAUCUGCUUAGCUGUGAUAAUUAGUAACGCCAAUCGACUCUUACAUAUAUAUAUAUAUAUAUAUAUAUAUAUAUAUAUAUAUAUAUUCUGCUAAUAUGCUGGUUUGGGUUAUUGGGUACGUUCGAGUGUCCAACACGGACACUAGUCGCGGCCUACGGGGUUGGGUCGUGACAAAAGUGGUAUCAGAGCGGUUUGUCCUCGGAAUAUCUACAGGCCGUGUCUAGUAGAGUCUUGUUUAUCGGUGUGUUGUGCACCACAUCUAUAAACAGGAGGCUACAGGACAUUUAGGGUGUUAUCUUUCUUUGGUUCUUAGAUCGUGCGAUAGAGCCCAGCCAUAAGAAAUGAAAUUUCUUUCUACUAACCCUUAAUUUCAGCUGGAGAACGGUAUCGACAGAAGAAAGUGGCUGAUGAUAUUGGAAGCUACACUGUACACAGGUAAGAAACGGUGCGAAAAGGGAAUGUUGGAUAAGGUAAGAAUAUUGAGAUAUGAUUGAAAUAUAAGGUUGAAGAAUGAAAGAUAAGGUAGAUAGGAAGGUAUAACAGGACGGAUCGUUAAGGGUAAGUUCUGACACCUUUAUACUUUUUACUUGAAAUUGGGAGCCCUGUGUGGCUAUGAUAUGAUACGAUAUAUGCGUAUAUAUGUUGGCCAUGUGAGGCAUUGUUGGUAUUUCCUGCAUGCAGGUUUUGAGAUAGUAAGAAAUACAGAGGAAACUCUGUCAAAAUUUUUCUAGAAAUUAAUUAAGACUGUGAGAUAAAUAUCAUUUGGACAAAUGCCCCGCAAGUUAUCGACAUGUGACAGCCAAUAUACAUAUACACGCGCAUAAGUUAAAAAAAAAAAAAAAAAAAAAAGGGUACAAGAACAUUUGUUCCUUAGCAAUGUCCCGUGAAGAAGUAAAACAUGGGUAGUUUUUAUUUAUUACAAAUUGUGGGCCAUCCCACAUGGUCUUCAUUGACCAUUUCCGUACUUUAAAUAUUUAAAGGAAAUUUUUUUUUGCCUUGGAAAGUUGAGAAUGCUGCUGGGGACAACAAGGUUGGAAAUUGAUUACUAAAGCAUGCCAUGUUUCCACGUUUUGGUCUUAUCACUGUGGAAUUUUUAUAUUUUAAGUGGGUCCAAGAUGAAUAAGUCAUUAUUGGUGAUUAUAUAAACCUUUUUCUUAUCCUUUACAUGGAAAAUCUGCAAAAACAAUCUGUGGCUUCUCACAUUUGUUUUUUCCCGUUAAGAGCUCCAAGAACAAAUUCUAAUGCUAUCAAAGAAUACAAACCAAAAUCUUCAAGUAAACCAGAGAUCUGUUGGAAAUGAAUUAAUAUUGAAGCAGAAUAAUUCUUGGUAUAUGAGGCUAAAAGGGCGACGAGGCGAAAAGGAUUCAUGAAUAGUCGCUGACAGGUAUGUAAAGCCUACCUUUCUUUCUUUUGGCAUGACCUUUAUGAAACGAACAAAUAACACAUAUGUAUGCUUUUAAAGAAAAUCCUAUUCUUAAAGCCACUAGGAUGACCAAUAUCUUUGACUUCCAUAAGCCAUUCCAUAUGGUUUGAUACGUACUUAUGAUGUCCGAAGUUCUAUUUGAUAUGUUUCCGAAUGUUGUUCGAAAAAUAUUUGAUAUGGCUAAAGUCUUGGAUAUAUAUUUUGAUACGUACAUAUGACUCUAAAGGCUCCAUUCGAUUUGAUCCAUAAGGAUAUUUGAAAGUUCCCUAAUAUGAUUGUUACUUGAAUUUCCAAAAAGAGCUUCUGAAACGUUUUUAGAACGUUCUGUACUUCAAAAGUUCGUAACUUUCGUAUACUAAUUCUGAUUGACCCGAAACUGAUUUCUGAGCCUUCGGAUGCCGUAAAUAUAUUGUCCAUCGAGUUUUGGAAUUUAUUUAAUUAUAUGCAUUUAGUUUCUCACUACUCCACUCGUGGAUGCCCUCAAUGCUGCUUUCACUGAGCCCGGGCCAGGAUAUGUUAUCACGCGUAUUCCACUGCAUUGUUCGCCGUGCCUCGAUGUGAGGGGGCAGGUAUACAUGUACAUGGGUUGUGGAGUAUGUUGUGCCAUGUACACACAUUCUGAUAUAUGAUAAUAUGAUAAGAUAUGGCCAUCGAAUAUGUUUGAUAUGUGCACAUUCUGAUAUGAUAUGAUAUGUUACGGAGCUAUUCCCUACUCUGGAGUAUGCUGUGUUGUGGCGCCAGUGACGGGGUGGCGACCACGUUCUGUUCACCGAGUCCCAUAAUGGGGGUCGGAUAUGGCAUAUGCUCUGACAUGUAUUAUCUCUGUUCUGUGAGUAAGCAUUUUGACAUUCCGGUUAUUGUACUUAUAUUUUGUACCCUCUGUUCAGAUUAUGAUUCUGUUUAUUGUACUUUAUGCUUUACAUACUCGGUACAUAUUCCGUACUGACCCCCUUUCUUCGGGGGCUGCGUUUCAUGCCACGCAGGUACAGACGACUGAUUUACCGAUCCGCUCGCUUAGGAUUCUAUUCUGCUGUCUUGGAGUGCUCGGUUGUUCGGAGCCUACGUCUUGGUACAGUCUUUUGCCAUUGUACAUAUGUAUGUGGUUCAGGGGUAUGACGGGGCCCUGUCCCGUCUUGUGAUUCGGUUGCUAUUUGUAGAGGUCUGUAGACAUACAUGUGGGUUGUGUAUAUGUUUUGGGUUGAUAUGA